CCGCCGUUAGCUCACCUGGAAAGAGCAUCAGCCGCGUAGCUGAAGGUUUGGGGUUCGAGUCCCUGACGGCGGUCCA
Molecule: transfer RNA, 76 nt
Filed under: Erwinia sp.
Lineage: Bacteria; Pseudomonadati; Pseudomonadota; Gammaproteobacteria; Enterobacterales; Erwiniaceae
Description: tRNA-OTHER
Rfam family: tRNA
About the family: Transfer RNA (tRNA) molecules are approximately 80 nucleotides in length.
Source: RNAcentral